RNAcentral lists this ribosomal RNA (253 nucleotides) under uncultured bacterium. RNAcentral describes it as "partial 16S ribosomal RNA". It matches the Rfam family "Bacterial small subunit ribosomal RNA", at positions 524 to 776 of the family's 1533-position model. The record is from RNAcentral.
UACGUAGGGGGCAAGCGUUGGCCGGAUUUACUGGGCGUAAAGCGCGCGCCGGCGGCCAGGUCAGUCGAAUGUGAAAGCCCCCGGCUCAACUGGGGAGGGUCAUUCGAUACUGCCUGGCUUGAAGAUAGGAGAGGGAAGCGGAAUUUCAGGUGUAGUGGUGAAAUGCGUAGAUAUCUGAAGGAACACCAGUGGCGAAGGCGGCUUUCUGGCCUAUUCUUGACGCUGAGGCGCGAAAGCUAGGGGAGCGAACGGG